This 409-nucleotide long non-coding RNA is filed under the name Equus caballus (horse). Its description in RNAcentral is "lncRNA (ENSECAG00000059653.1)". The record is from RNAcentral. Lineage: Eukaryota; Metazoa; Chordata; Mammalia; Perissodactyla; Equidae.
UGGAGCUGCAUGUGUUGUCAGCUGGUUCCCCUGCCUCCCGCCUCCACUGACCUCGAAGUGUUCCUGGGUUGUAUAGAUGCUCAACAAGGAGAUAGAUAAACAGGCCAAGUGAGUUUAUGGGAGAAGCCCUUACCUGCAGAGGUGCUGGGAUGCAAAUGAGAGGAGUCAGAAUUGCUCCCAGCAGAGUUCCUGGCAAAUGAUAGCUGUUCAACCAAUGUUUGUUAAAUGAAUAAAGAAGGGCCCACUUUCUACAGCCAAUAAAGCUGGGGAUGCACCGAGAGAUGAGGUGCCGUGGUAUCUCUUGUUCCCUGGACGGCCCAAGGAAUUCACCUGCUUGCGUACUUGCUACAUUUGGGCACAAAACGUGUUUAGACCUCAAAGUCCUGAGCUGUCUCUUGCAAAAACUGAG